UACGUAGGGGGCAAGCGUUGUCCGGAUUUAUUGGGCGUAAAGAGCGUGUAGGCGGCCAGAUAGGUCCGUUGUGAAAACUCGAGGCUCAACCUCGAGACGCCGAUGGAAACCAUUUGGCUAGGGUCCGGAAGAGGAGAGUGGAAUUCCUGGUGUAGCGGUGAAAUGCGCAGAUAUCAGGAAGAACACCCGUGGCUAAGGCGGCUCUCUAGUACGGUACUGACGCUGAGACGCGAAAGCGUGGGGAGCGAACAGG
This 253-nucleotide ribosomal RNA is filed under the name uncultured bacterium. Its description in RNAcentral is "partial 16S ribosomal RNA". It matches the Rfam family "Bacterial small subunit ribosomal RNA", at positions 524 to 776 of the family's 1533-position model. The record is from RNAcentral.